GACGAACGCUGGCGGCGUGCUUAACACAUGCAAGUCGAGCGGUAAGGCCCUUUCGGGGGUACACGAGCGGCGAACGGGUGAGUAACACGUGGGUGACCUGCCCUCAGCUCUGGGAUAAGCCUGGGAAACUGGGUCUAAUACUGGAUAUGACUCCACGGUGCAUGUCGUGGGGUGGAAAGCCUUGUGCGGCUGAGGAUGGGCCCGCGGCCUAUCAGCUUGUUGGUGGGGNGAUGGCCUACCAAGGCGACGACGGGUAGCCGGCCUGAGAGGGCGACCGGCCACACUGGGACUGAGACACGGCCCAGACUCCUACGGGAGGCAGCAGUGGGGAAUCUUGGACAAUGGGCGCAAGCCUGAUCCAGCCAUGCCGCGUGAGUGAUGAAGGCCUUAGGGUUGUAAAGCUCUUUCAGCGGGAAGAUAAUGACGGUACCCGCAGAAGAAGCCCGGCUAACUUCGUGCCAGCCGCCGCCGUAAC
Molecule: ribosomal RNA, 475 nt
Filed under: uncultured bacterium
Lineage: Bacteria
Description: bacterial SSU rRNA
Rfam family: Bacterial small subunit ribosomal RNA
Source: RNAcentral